GGUCGCGUAGCUCAGUUGGAUAGAGCAAUUGCCUUCUAAGCAAUAGGUCGGAGGUUCGAGUCCUCCCGCGAUCACCA
RNAcentral lists this transfer RNA (77 nucleotides) under Bdellovibrio sp. 28-41-41. Its description in RNAcentral is "tRNA-Arg". It matches the Rfam family "tRNA". Rfam says of the family: Transfer RNA (tRNA) molecules are approximately 80 nucleotides in length. RNAcentral also lists the same sequence under 1 other name. The record is from RNAcentral. Lineage: Bacteria; Pseudomonadati; Bdellovibrionota; Bdellovibrionia; Bdellovibrionales; Pseudobdellovibrionaceae.